GCAGCCUGAGCUGGGAUUGAUAAAGGACCAUCGUUCUCCGCUAAUUUAUGCAUUCAUUGGUUGAUUCUUAUACGUCGGGACUGAGCCAGCAACCUUGGUGUAUGGGGAAGAUACUCUAACUGACUGACCUACCAUUCUCAAAACUUGAGCGCUCAUCAGGACCAUUUGGAAGAUAUUUUAAAUCAUAGACUGCAUGGAAGAAAGAUGGAAGAACGCCAAAAAUACAAGAAAGAGGAAAAGGAGGAGGGAUGGAAGGAGUAAAAAGAAGAGGAGGAAAGGGAUGCAGGUCUGAUUAAAUACAUCUCUUGGAAUAGUUAUCUGCAACCUCCAUUCUUCACAACAGCCUUUUGAGACAGUGUGGCAGAUCACUCUCUCACUAUCCGUAUGCUGCAGAUGAGGGAUCUGAAGAUCAAAAAUGUUCAUUACUUUUUACAAGGGUCUAUAGCCAUUAAAAGAAGGGGGUAGGGUGGGGAAGAAGGAGCGGAUGGGACUUAACUAGUAGACUGUGGUAUCCUAGAUUUCAUCACAUGGCUACUCAAGAAUGUUGAGAAACAAAGCAUAUGUACAAGGAAAGGAAAUAUGAGGACAAAUCCUGAAUUUUCACACAAAUCCAGCAUUACACUGAAUGUCAGCACCACAUCAGCUUUUCCAAUGUAAUUUUGAGGUGCCAUUUUUUAUGUUAUAGUGACGUGACUGAAUAAACACA
This is a long non-coding RNA of Myotis myotis, 706 nucleotides long. RefSeq lists it as uncharacterized. The transcript has 3 exons. The record is from RefSeq and is a predicted model, not a curated record. Lineage: Eukaryota; Metazoa; Chordata; Mammalia; Chiroptera; Vespertilionidae.